Molecule: ribosomal RNA, 253 nt
Filed under: uncultured bacterium
Lineage: Bacteria
Description: partial 16S ribosomal RNA
Rfam family: Bacterial small subunit ribosomal RNA
Source: RNAcentral
UACGGGGGGGGUAAGCGUUGUUCGGAAUUACUGGGCGUAAAGGGCUCGUAGGCGGCCAACUAAGUCGGACGUGAAAUCCCUCAGCUUAACUGGGGAACUGCGUCCGAUACUGGAUGGCUUGGAUUUGGGAGAGGGAUGCGGAAUUCCAGGUGUAGCGGUGAAAUGCGUAGAUAUCUGGAGGAACACCGGUGGCGAAGGCGGCAUUCUGGACCGAUAUUGACGCUGAGGAGCGAAAGCCAGGGGAGCAAACGGG